This is a long non-coding RNA of Phyllopteryx taeniolatus (common seadragon), 883 nucleotides long. RefSeq lists it as uncharacterized. The record is from RefSeq and is a predicted model, not a curated record. The transcript is spliced from 3 exons. NCBI's taxonomy places the organism in Eukaryota, Metazoa, Chordata, Actinopteri, Syngnathiformes, Syngnathidae.
UUGGUGAAAGGAGAAGUCGAUGGAGAGCAGCUCCUCUGAGAGCGCCUCUCUCCUCAGCUCAGGUCCAGAUAAGAGAAUUACGGCACGACAAGGAGAGUUGACAGAGCUCACUAUAAGUCUAUUAGCAAGUUCAUUAGAAACAAAGAUCAGUUUGAUAAGACAAAAGCCUCUUUAGUGAGUAAAUAAGUAUGCUUCACAGCUCAGCUUUUUAAAAUGUAUUUAUUUAUUAUUAUUUUUUUUUUCGUUGGAAGACACUCAACCUGACUGAGCUCUAAUUGUUCCUUAAAUGAGGACAAGCUGAACAAGAAAAUCACCACUAAGGAACCCAGGAGAGCGGCUCCCCAGGGACCGACGCGAACUAACCGUGGCGGCAGCCUGCCAGCCUGGCAGGAGGCGGCCCGUGCCACCCCUGGCCUGGUUUCACCAACGCUUGUGUUUGAAGGUGUAUUUUCCAGCUGUUACUCACAGCAUGCGGACAUAUCAGGCUAACAUGAAAAGGCGGCCCACAGCUGUGAAAACACAGACGGGCCCAGCGGCUCCAGGUGACUGCACACCUUGACUCCCAUUCAUCAAACCCUGUUUACCCUGGCCGGCCAGCCUAAGCUGCCCAAGAAUCAACUCCUCCGGAGAGAUUGAUGUGGCCUGUGAUUUAUGUAUGAAUAAGAGCUGGCAGCUGUUGCCAGAGGCAGUUCCAGCAUUCUUGGACAGGAAGCGGCAUAGAGUGAAAUGUGUGAUUAUGUUCUAAGUAUUUUAUUGUACAUAUAGAAUUACAGUAGAACUUUGACUUACAAGUUAUGAAAUGAAUUGAAAUGCCAUUACUACUUUCCAGCCGCCUGAAAAACAUGACAAUGUUUUUUUGUUACAUGUAAAAUUUAAAGACAGA